UCAACCCAAAGAAAAUGUAUGAAGACACGGGGUGUACACAGACAGGGAGGCUAUCAAUUACAGGUGGGUUCGAUGGUCUUCAGUUUCGAUUCAUUCUGGUAUAGUUGGCAAAGACAAGUGUCUAAUAGGUCUAGAAGGGCUAUGCUUUAAGGGUCAAGCUGAUGAUGACACAUGUCCCAAGCUGGGUUCCAAAGAGCUAUAGCUGGAGGGACCGAGGUGCCUGUGAGGUGGAGGCACAAGCUUUAGACAAGGCUAUCUCAUAACGAGUUUUCUGUCUGAAGCCUUUUUUCAAGAGGAACUGAAUAUUUCCAGAUCACAGGGAAAUGUAAUGGAAUUUUCAUUUCUUUAUCCACUUCGAUGACUCCACUAUUGGAUAUUAAAGGUUUGAUCAGAUUAUUCUGGCCGCAGAGCCCAAACUUAUGAGAACUCCCAUAAACAUUUACGUCUCAGAUCCUAUAGAAAAGGAAGAGAUUAUAGAAUUGGAAUCAAUUUUUAUCUCCCCUCCCCAUCAUUUCUGUCUUAAUGAUUUUUGAAUCUUUUUAGUGUACUCAGAGAUAACUGGUUGAAGGUAACUCUAUGCAAUCUUUCAGGUUCCAACCAAUCAUCUGGAAUUUGAGGACCAAGGAAAAAAGAAAUCUCUGGCAAAAGGAAGCUGUAAAUCACAUUUCUUUAGGGGGUACGUAAGUACAUCCAUAUCGAAGGUGACAAAGUCACUCUAAGUUGAGUGUCAGCGAAAAAGUGUGGAAAUGGAGAGAAAAAGAAAGAUAUCCUAAACCCUAUGGUCGGAUAUACGGUUCAUUUCCUAUCUUACUGCACUUGAAUAAAACGACCACCCAGUCUGAGAUGCAGACAACAGUCAGACCUCUCACUGGCCUAAAGUGUCCAUGCUGUUUCAUUUGGGUCAUGAUUCUGACCUAGUAACAUUGCAUUUUAUUAAAGAGGACAGACAUUCAAAAACUGGCAGCUGUAAUUAGACCAAAAUUUAUCAAACUUGUUCUCUUGCAGACUACACUCGGCCUGGUUUUCCAUCCUAAUGAGGUAAAAGUACAAUCACAAGACAAUCCGGCACAGUGACUCCAACUGGCCAGUGAUAUGAGAGUCCAAACGAUUCUAGAAAACCUGGCCCUCAAGACCAAGUAAAAGCCAAAAGUGAAGAGAGAACAGGUGCAGAGCUGGGCUGCAGGGAAUCUGCAUGUUGAAAGAAUCACAGUCUUGCUCACUGUACAAGGUCCAAAGCCAGAAACACCUUUGAGUUCUAAGUGCAGGGAUGGACGACCUGCCCACAUCUAACAGCACUGGCUAAGGGAAGACUUCAAAGCCAGGCCCACUGCAAGCCCACGGCUUUGCCUUCCCUCCACUUCUGAAUUUAUGUAACUGGCUUCUUCUAAAAAGUGAUGGGGGUGGGGGGAGAAUCCCAUUUUCAUUUCCAAAUGUGGUGAACUCAUCUUGACGAACAGCACAUCUGAACAUUCCUCACUCUCCUACAGUUUGUCAAAUAAUUUGCAUCAAGUACUUUUUUUCAAGAGAUCUCUUGUAAUUGCAAUAAAACAGUUUUUCUUUUUUUGGCAGAGUGAAAAGUCAGACCCGUUGCCUGAUCCGCCCCGCAUCAAGCAGUAGCUGCACACACACACUGGCUGCCUUUCCUUUAGACAACACAGUGGCCCUGUGUCUCCCUGACACGGAUGUUCUCUGGGACCAUCAGUGAGUCUCUUUCGCUUUCACAGCUAGAAGGCGGCAAGAGAGGGGCCACGCUCUAGUUUGGUAUUUUUUUCUUGCAGCUUCUCCAGUCAAAGAUGGAGAAGUACAUACAACACUGAAAUGUUCCCAAGAAUGUACGCUUUGGGAUGAGCUGGACAGGGCAACCUUUUCAGGAUGAUUCAUUCUCUGUGGCUCUCAGUAUGUUCUGGGUCAAGGCCAUUUCUGAUGGGAACUGGAUCAUAAAACACAGGCUGACACUGGUGAAAGGCAUCCAAAGGUAAGCACUUACACCGAUCCCUUGAUUCUCAGACAAAAAAGACAUAAAUGAAGAAAACCAGUGGGCUCCUCUUUUGAAAAAAUGACGACGUGGGCUGCAGUGAGAAACCCGGUCACUCCUACACAGACAGCUUCUUGGACAUUCUCUGCGUGAGUGACCAAAGCCACCUACCCGAGCUUAGAAAACUUCCCACCAACGGCUUAGGUCUAACGUAGUGGCUCUUUUUGUACUUGAUGUCUAUACUGGAGCAAGGGGUUACAGAGUUUAUAAAGGACUGGUCCAAUGCAGAGUAUGUGGCUUCACAUCACACUGGCCUCUCUACCCCCCAAAAACGAAGGUGCCUAAGUCCUGUCCUUCCUGGAGCCUUAACUGCGCUGAGAUCCCGGCGGGGAGAGGCAGUCUAUAAAUAUGAAGCGUUACGGUUACCCUUAGUUACUUCACUUUUUCAGAGCAUAAUGCAAUCUGUCCCGAGUCCAAUGUUUUAUUUCUGUAGUGGAUUCUGCUGUCCUAUUUUAUAUAUUGUAUAUCACGCGUUAUGUUGCUCUAGUAAUCUUUUGAAGAUGUUGUUCCACUAUUAUUUUUACUUGCCUUGAAAAAAAUGGAAGUGGGCAGGAAGGGGAGGCCUGCUGGCAGACUCUAUUUAAGGUGCACAGUGGAAAGUCAUCUACUGACCAGGACCCAAACUCCUGGAGGAGAGGAGGAAGAGCCAGUCCUCAAAUCAUGACCUGAGACCCAGGUGUUCACCUCACCUCAUGACAGCUACAAAGGAUUCUUGGGAAAAUGGUGGGAGAGUGUGGGGCUAUCACUGAAAGUAAGAAAGCAUCCUAGUGGAAAUUAGUCACAAAGUUAAGAGAAUCCAGAGGCUGGAGGAUCACUGCUGCUGGUGGGCUGGGUUUUUUUUUUUUUUUUUUUUUUUGCCUGGCAGCCUCAUGAAUGUCAAAUGUGCUUGUAAUCUGAAUACCAUUCCAGAUAGAGCAGCCUUUAAAUUCACACUUCAUAAGACUCCAGGGAAAAUAAGCUACUAAUGAAUGGUAUUUACAGUGGCGGCAUCUAAGCGUGCGUUCAUUUGCUUUUCUAAAGUUACUGUGUAAACUACAAGUAAUUAAAAGAAACAUAGAAAGUAGUUCCUCCUAUUAAAUUUGUUUUGGGUUCUGUAUGUGUGUGUGUGUAUAUAUAUACAUAUAUACAUAUAUAUAUAUAUAUAUAAUUACUGAAAAGCUAAGCCGAGUGAAUUUGCCUCUGGACUCAAAAGUGUGUUAAGGCUGUGUAUGCUCCAUCCUCAGAAGCCUGAAGCCUUCGCUGUGUAAACAGUUCUCUAGGACACAGGGCAGGUGCUCAGUGAGAAUAGGAAGAUUAUUCUAUCCCCUCUUCACCCAACUCCAUUCCCCUUGAUGCCGAGCGUCUCCAUCGUGUUUGCAUCAUCAUCAUCCCCUGAAGGAGCCUUUUUAAGACGUUAGCUUCUCGGUUUGCGCCCUUCCCUCAGGAAACGUUAAUCUCGGCCCUUUGAAGGGGCACAGGACUCGGCCACAUCUGUACCAAGAACGCAGGCUGCGGAGGCCCACAGGACCCUGUCCGCCGAUGAGCUCUGGAGGGCGGGCCUGCCCAGAUUUAUUGGGAAGAAACAGACACUGGCUGUUUACCACUGAGAGUACCGCCUCCUGCAUCUGACAGGAUCAGAGGAUGACACGACCCCCAGUGGAUCAGCAUCCGUUAUCAAGCUAUGCCUUACCUUCCCAAAUACAAAGAAGCUGGCCCUUACUGGGGGUAAGUGCUUUAGUUAACAGAGAAAAUGCCAAAGGGAACCAUGAGUAGAACUCUCAAUGGCAAAAUGAGACUGCUUUAUUAUUUGAUGGCUUCUAUUUUACAUAUAACUUUCUUAGGGUGAAAAGGAAAUUCUGGUCACUGCUCAACUGAAACCCUUGACAUCUGUAACCUACCAAAGGAGGAGCUCAACUGAAGGGUGAAGAGUUUUUAACAUCUCACCUUUCCCGAGUUUCAGGAAAUUCCACAACCCUUACCAGGUAAAGUAACAAGCACAGUUUCCUCUUCAGUUCUCCUGGUUGAACUUACUGACACUCAAAACUGGACAUGAGGAUAUUUCAAAGAGACCCAAGUCAUUUACUCCCAGUUUUCUUCUUACAGGGAAUAAGGUGACAAUGUGGGCCUAAGAAGAGGAUACUAAUACCACACCUCGCAUCCCUCGGCAGGCUGAAGAAGAGAAAGGAGUAUUUUGAACCAAGUUCCUUCAGUGCCUAUGUGUCUUAAUAGAAAAAAGGUACACUGGGUCAUUAUUCAUAACUCUGUAAGUGUGAAGAAUUCUGUGUUUGAUUUCCUCCCAUAUAAAGUUAAUAAGUAGCAAGGAAAACUUCUAAUUCAAACAAAACAUGUUUUAUUUGCACCCUAUAACAAACCCCUAUCAUCUUUAUAAUAAAACCAUGUAAAAUAUUUGCAUUUUAAAUAUUUCUAAAUGUCUUAGAAUUGGGGCAUUGUAAGAAUUCUAGAUAUUAAAUAUACAAAUAUGAUUAAUCUCCAAUAGUACCUACCCCCUUUUCUAUAGCAAAAAUAUUAUUAUUAAAACAGAAAUUAUAGUGAGGAAAUCCAAAAAUUGUUGAGGGCUUAAUCUAAUACAAUGCAAUCAAUACACCAACGGUGGAACUUGGAUCGAGGACUGUUGUGUGACCACAACCUUGCUGAGGGCCUCCCACUUGGAGCUAUGGAAUCUGACUUGUCUAGAGCAAAUGCUGUCAGUCAAGUCAUAUAUUUCAUAAUUACUUUUCUUACACACAGUUAAUGAAUAUGACAGUUUCUUCACUUAAGAAACAGAACCUAUAUACAUUUAGGGUUCUCCUGUAAUAACUCCAUAUACUGUGCUAGUGUUUGGAGUGUACAGCCUUCUCCACUUAUGUCACAUUUACCUGAUCAUUUUUACAUGUUACUAAUGGCUAAAGAAAAAAGUUAUCUAUGCAGUCUCUGCAGAAAUACAUGCUGAUGGUGGCUGAAGACCUCAAGGCAUGAGGUUUGUGUACAAAAGACCACCUCCUUCACAUUCCAACCAUAGAGAAACAGACAACUUUGGUCUAUCUGAUGCAAAAGUAAGGGAGUCUUCUUCCAUCCUGGCAUUUCUAACACCACAGUAAUUAUUUUCUCAAUCCAAUAUUUCUACAAAUUAGACUCUCUGAAUAUAUCAAAACAAUAUUACUGUAACUUACAAGACCUGCAUGUUACCAACAACACAUUCUCUCCUGUAAACCGCAAGAUCCAAGACUAAACAGACCUGCA
Molecule: non-coding RNA, 5254 nt
Organism: Odocoileus virginianus texanus
Lineage: Eukaryota; Metazoa; Chordata; Mammalia; Artiodactyla; Cervidae
Source: RefSeq, a predicted model, not a curated record